This 778-nucleotide long non-coding RNA is filed under the name Hordeum vulgare. RNAcentral describes it as "long non-coding RNA (HVUL_LNC007708)". The record is from RNAcentral. Lineage: Eukaryota; Viridiplantae; Streptophyta; Magnoliopsida; Poales; Poaceae.
CACUUCUUCUUAUCCAUUCCUCCCGUGUCAAGCUCCUCUCUCUCGACCGCGUUCUUCUUAUCCAGUUCUUAUCCAGACCGGCCGACGUCUCGCCUCCACUGCGCUCAUCGAGGACGGGGCUGGAGGCGGAGGCGGCAGUGGCGCCCACCGAGGAGAGCUCGCCGAAAGGUGAGGAAUCUCUUCACCUCUGCUUUCUCUCCCUCUCCUCUGUAGCCAUUCAUCCCCUCUGCAGUUUUCUGCAGUGCGGCCAUUGUUUCUGCAACGUGGUUGUUGUUGCAGGAGUUGGAGAGAUUGUUUCUGCAACCCGUUCGUUGUUUCAGGAAUUGUUUCUGCAACCCGCUGUGGCCGCUGCUGCAGGAAAGCGAUUGUUUCUGAAACUCGGCCUUUGUUUCAGGAAUUAAUGGAUCUAAAGUUUAUUUUUUGCAACAAAGCAAUUGUUUCUACAACUCGAGCGUCAUUUCAAGAAUGAAGUCCACGAGCGGAUCGAUCGGCUACGCGCGAGAUCGAACGGCUGUCGAGGUGGUGGAUGUUUAUUAAAUAUCCACCGGUGGAUGCGUAGCAGCUCCCAUCAAACAAAGGGUCACAUUUUUCUGAUUAAUGUGGGAUUUUCUAGUUAUUUUCCUAUUUUGAUCCGUAUUUUGCUUUUAGUAGAUAAUAGAUGGUAUCUUGGACAUCUAUUUGAUGCAACCCUUUCUUUUGUGGUGUGUUUGUUGGGAUCUGAUGAACUGUGAGUUUAUGAUUAGGUCUAUGAAAUUAUACCCAUACUUGAUUAUUACAG